Molecule: ribosomal RNA, 232 nt
Filed under: uncultured bacterium
Lineage: Bacteria
Description: partial 16S ribosomal RNA
Rfam family: Bacterial small subunit ribosomal RNA
Source: RNAcentral
UACGUAGGGUGCGAGCGUUGUCCGGAAUUAUUGGGCGUAAAGAGCUUGUAGGCGGUUUGUCGCGUCUGCUGUGAAAAUCCGAGGCUCAACCUCGGACUUGCAGUGGGUACGGGCAGACUAGAGUGUGGUAGGGGAGACUGGAAUUCCUGGUGUAGCGGUGGAAUGCGCAGAUAUCAGGAGGAACACCGAUGGCGAAGGCAGGUCUCUGGGCCAUUAACUGACACUGGAGAAG